UGGGGAAUAUUGCACAAUGGGCGCAAGCCUGAUGCAGCCAUGCCGCGUGUGUGAAGAAGGCCUUCGGGUUGUAAAGCACUUUCAGCGGGGAGGAAGGCGUUAAGGUUAAUAACCUUGGCGAUUGACGUUACCCGCAGAAGAAGCACCGGCUAACUCCGUGCCAGCAGCCGCGGUAAUACGGAGGGUGCAAGCGUUAAUCGGAAUUGCUGGGCGUAAAGCGCACGCAGGCGGUCUGUCAAGUCGGAUGUGAAAUCCCCGGGCUCAACCUGGGAACUGCAUUCGAAACUGGCAGGCUAGAGUCUUGUAGAGGGGGGUAGAAUUCCAGGUGUAGCGGUGAAAUGCGUAGAGAUCUGGAGGAAUACCGGUGGCGAAGGCGGCCCCCUGGACAAAGACUGACGCUCAGGUGCGAAAGCGUGGGGAGCAAACAGG
RNAcentral lists this ribosomal RNA (429 nucleotides) under Chloroflexota bacterium. RNAcentral's name for it is "Chloroflexi bacterium partial 16S ribosomal RNA". It matches the Rfam family "Bacterial small subunit ribosomal RNA", at positions 355 to 776 of the family's 1533-position model. The record is from RNAcentral. Lineage: Bacteria; Bacillati; Chloroflexota.